This 245-nucleotide long non-coding RNA is filed under the name Lathyrus oleraceus (garden pea). RNAcentral describes it as "Pisum sativum (pea) long non-coding RNA (PSAT_LNC006840)". Lineage: Eukaryota; Viridiplantae; Streptophyta; Magnoliopsida; Fabales; Fabaceae. The record is from RNAcentral.
UUAGUCUUCCCUGAGCAGUGGUUUGGUGAUUUUACCUUCACAACAGUUUGUGUUCAUCCCCGGAAUGGUUGGUGGAUUUUCAUCCCCGGUAGAGCUGAUGAUUUGUUCCCUUUAUAAUUCAUCUUUCCUCAGUUGAGAUGUUCAUGUUUUCGCAUUUUUUCCAGUUUGUGUUGGUGGAUGAACCUUGGAUUAUUUUGGAACCUUUAUUUGGUCUCCAAAUCCCUGACAUGUCUAUUUGUGUGUUG